Molecule: ribosomal RNA, 122 nt
Filed under: Peribacillus frigoritolerans
Lineage: Bacteria; Bacillati; Bacillota; Bacilli; Caryophanales; Bacillaceae
Description: [Brevibacterium] frigoritolerans partial 16S ribosomal RNA
Rfam family: Bacterial small subunit ribosomal RNA
Source: RNAcentral
UCUUCGGAGAGUUUGAUCCUGGCUCAGGACGAACGCUGGCGGCGUGCCUAAUACAUGCAAGUCGAGCGGACUUGCUGGAGCUUGCUCCAGCAGGUUAGCGGCGGACGGGUGAGUAACACGUG